UACGUAGGGUCCGAGCGUUGUCCGGAAUUACUGGGCGUAAAGAGCUCGUAGGUGGUUUGUCGCGUUGUUCGUGAAAACUCACAGCUCAACUGUGGGCGUGCGGGCGAUACGGGCAGACUGGAGUACUGCAGGGGAGACUGGAAUUCCUGGUGUAGCGGUGGAAUGCGCAGAUAUCAGGAGGAACACCGGUGGCGAAGGCGGGUCUCUGGGCAAUAACUGACGCUGAGGAGCGAAAGCAUGGGGAGCGAACAGG
RNAcentral lists this ribosomal RNA (253 nucleotides) under uncultured bacterium. RNAcentral's name for it is "partial 16S ribosomal RNA". It matches the Rfam family "Bacterial small subunit ribosomal RNA", at positions 524 to 776 of the family's 1533-position model. The record is from RNAcentral.